ACUGCUAUUUGGGUGAGGAUAAGCCAUGCGAGUUGAAUGGGAAACCUAAAGUUCCCAUGGCAAACUGCUCAGUAACACAUGAUCAACUUACCCUAUAGAGAAAAAUAACUUCGGGAAACUGAGGAUAAUGUUUCAUAGUUGAAUUGGCUUGGAAAAGUUUUUCGACGAAAGGGGUAAAAAAAAUGGUUUUUAUCCGCUAUAGGAUAGGAUCGUGCUCGAUUAUGGUUGUUGGUGAGGUAAUGGCUCACCAAGCCGAUAAUCGAUAGGGGCCGUGAGAGCGGGAGCCCCGAGAUGGGUACUGAGACAACGACCCAGGCCUUACGAGGCGCAGCAGGCGCGAAACCUCCGCAAUACACGAAAGUGUGACGGGGUUACCCAAAGUGUUCAGUUUUGAACUGUGGUAGGUGAGUAAUGUUCCCUACUAGAAAGGAGAGGGCAAGGCUGGUGCCAGCCGCCGCGGUAAAACCAGCUCUUCAAGUGGUCGGGAUAAUUAUUGGGCUUAAAGUGUCCGUAGCCGGUUUAGUAAGUUCCUGGUAAAAUCGGGUAGCUUAACUAUCUGCAUGCUAGGAAUACUGCUAUACUAGAGGACGGGAGAGGUCUGAGGUACUACAGGGGUAGGGGUGAAAUCUUAUAAUCCUUGUAGGACCACCAGUGGCGAAGGCGUCAGACUGGAACGUGCCUGACGGUGAGGGACGAAAGCCAGGGGAGCGAACCGGAUUAGAUACCCGGGUAGUCCUGGCCGUAAACGAUGCAUACUAGUGAUGGUACGGCCAUGAGCCGUAUCAGUGCCGUAGGGAAACCGUUAAGUGUGCCGCCUGGGAAGUACGGUCGCAAGGCUAAAACUUAAAGGAAUUGGCGGGGGAGCACACAAGGGGUGAAGCCUGCGUUCAUUUGAGUCAACGCCGGG
RNAcentral lists this ribosomal RNA (907 nucleotides) under uncultured archaeon. RNAcentral describes it as "bacterial SSU rRNA". It matches the Rfam family "Archaeal small subunit ribosomal RNA", at positions 26 to 922 of the family's 1478-position model. The record is from RNAcentral.